AUCCUUUUGUAGUUUAUGAGCAUGAUGAUUGGGUGUUCACACACGGGUGUGAGAUAUGCCACCCUCUUGGGUGUUCACACACGGGUGUGAGAUGUGCCACCCUCAAACCUUGUUAUGACUUCGGCAUAUUACCCAACUGACC
Molecule: small nucleolar RNA, 142 nt
Filed under: Macaca fascicularis (crab-eating macaque)
Lineage: Eukaryota; Metazoa; Chordata; Mammalia; Primates; Cercopithecidae
Description: Small nucleolar RNA U13 (ENSMFAG00000056956.1)
Rfam family: Small nucleolar RNA U13
Source: Rfam by way of RNAcentral